Molecule: non-coding RNA, 29 nt
Filed under: Homo sapiens (human)
Lineage: Eukaryota; Metazoa; Chordata; Mammalia; Primates; Hominidae
Source: RNAcentral
UCCCUGAGAAUAGGAACUGUGCUGCUCUU